UUUCUUGUUGAGCUCAGAAGGUUUGUCUCAGCUACAAAUGUGCUGAUAUGGAUAGGGAGAUUCCAGCCUUAAUGGGUGUUUCGAAGGCUAUAUUGGAUAAUGUUAUAUUUGUGCACCAAGACGAAUCCAAUUGGCCGUUACAGGACCCGUCAACACUUAAGAAAAAGUUUGACGACAUCUUUUCUGCUACCCGCUAUACCAAAGCUCUCGAAGUCAUAAAGAAACUUCAGAAGGACCAAGCACAAGAAAUCAAGACUUUUAGGUUAAAGCUGGAGAACCUUCAAACUCUUAAAGAUCAAG
This is a long non-coding RNA of Triticum aestivum (bread wheat), 300 nucleotides long. RefSeq lists it as uncharacterized. The record is from RefSeq and is a predicted model, not a curated record. The transcript is spliced from 2 exons. Lineage: Eukaryota; Viridiplantae; Streptophyta; Magnoliopsida; Poales; Poaceae.